UACGGAGGAGGCAAGCGUUAUCCGGAUUGACUGGGCGUAAAGAGUUGCGUAGGUGGUAGUUUAAGCGAAUAGUGAAAUCAUUCCGCUCAACGGAAUGGCUAUUAUUCGAACUGGGCUACUUGAGAACGAGAGGGAUCACUGGAAUUCCCUGUGUAGGAGUGAAAUCCGUAGAUAUAGGGAGGAACACCGAUGGCGUAGGCAGGUGACUGGCUCGUUUCUGACACUGAGGCACGAAAGCGUGGGGAGCGAACGGG
Molecule: unclassified non-coding RNA, 254 nt
Filed under: uncultured Patescibacteria group bacterium
Lineage: Bacteria
Description: contains 16S-23S intergenic spacer region
Rfam family: Bacterial small subunit ribosomal RNA
Source: RNAcentral